Molecule: ribosomal RNA, 348 nt
Filed under: Paleosepharia liquidambara
Lineage: Eukaryota; Metazoa; Arthropoda; Insecta; Coleoptera; Chrysomelidae
Description: eukaryotic LSU rRNA
Source: RNAcentral
UUCGCGUUUCGGCGUCGAAGUUAAUCGUUUGUAUGACGAAAGACGUUUCGGCGUUUUUUGCUUCUUUCGUUUUUCGAGUCGAUGUCGAACGCGUGCACUUUUCCUCUAGUAGGACGUCGCGAUCCGUUGGGUGUCUGUCUAGGGCUCGAGGUGGAGCCCACGUAAUUUCGAUUGCGUGGACCCUUGGUGUCCCGACAGACUCGCUCGACGGUAUACUAAUGGCGUGGGGCCGCUACUUCAGUUAGCGUUCGGCCCGUAGCAAGCGCGUUCUGUGUUGACGGCCAUCGGACCUGGUGCCGAUUCUGUCCCGGAACGACUGUUGGUUGCGGUGUUCUCGAACAGACCUCA